Molecule: ribosomal RNA, 346 nt
Filed under: Agrobacterium pusense
Lineage: Bacteria; Pseudomonadati; Pseudomonadota; Alphaproteobacteria; Hyphomicrobiales; Rhizobiaceae
Description: bacterial SSU rRNA
Rfam family: Bacterial small subunit ribosomal RNA
Source: RNAcentral
CAACUUGAGAGUUUGAUCCUGGCUCAGAACGAACGCUGGCGGCAGGCUUAACACAUGCAAGUCGAACGCCCCGCAAGGGGAGUGGCAGACGGGUGAGUAACGCGUGGGAACAUACCCUUUCCUGCGGAAUAGCUCCGGGAAACUGGAAUUAAUACCGCAUACGCCCUACGGGGGAAAGAUUUAUCGGGGAAGGAUUGGCCCGCGUUGGAUUAGCUAGUUGGUGGGGUAAAGGCCUACCAAGGCGACGAUCCAUAGCUGGUCUGAGAGGAUGAUCAGCCACAUUGGGACUGAGACACGGCCCAAACUCCUACGGGAGGCAGCAGUGGGGAAUAUUGGACAAUGGGCG